GCCGUCUUAGCUCAGUUGGUAGAGCGACGCACUCGUAACGCGUAGGCCAUCGGUUCAAUCCCGAUAGACGGCU
Molecule: transfer RNA, 73 nt
Filed under: Candidatus Moraniibacteriota bacterium
Lineage: Bacteria; Candidatus Moraniibacteriota
Description: tRNA-Thr
Rfam family: tRNA
About the family: Transfer RNA (tRNA) molecules are approximately 80 nucleotides in length.
Source: RNAcentral